UACGUAGGGGGCGAGCGUUAUCCGGAUUUAUUGGGCGUAAAGGGUGCGUAGGCGGUAUGUCAAGUCUAAAAUCAAAGCCCGAGGCUUAACCUCGGUUCGUUUUAGAAACUGGCAAACUAGAGUGCAGUAGAGGCAAGUGGAAUUUCUAGUGUAGCGGUUAAAUGCGUAGAUAUUAGAAGGAACACCAGUGGCGAAGGCGGCUUGCUGGGCUGUAACUGACGCUGAGGCACGAAAGCGUGGGGAGCAAAUAGG
RNAcentral lists this ribosomal RNA (252 nucleotides) under uncultured bacterium. Its description in RNAcentral is "partial 16S ribosomal RNA". It matches the Rfam family "Bacterial small subunit ribosomal RNA", at positions 524 to 776 of the family's 1533-position model. The record is from RNAcentral.